Molecule: ribosomal RNA, 445 nt
Filed under: uncultured bacterium
Lineage: Bacteria
Description: partial 16S ribosomal RNA
Rfam family: Bacterial small subunit ribosomal RNA
Source: RNAcentral
CCUACGGGUGACAGCAGUCGAGAAUCAUUCACAAUGGGGGAAACCCUGAUGGUGCGACGCCGCGUGGGGGAAUGAAGGUCUUCGGAUUGUAAACUCUUGUCAUGUGGGAGCACAGUAAAAGUUAGUACCACAAGAGGAAGAGCCGGCUAACUAUGUGCCAGCAGCCGCGGUAAUACAGAGGUCUCAAGCGUUGUUCGGAAUCACUGGGCGUAAAGCGUGCGUAGGCGGUUUCUUAAGUCGUGGGUGAAAGGCCCGGGCUCAACCCGCGGACGGCACAUGAUACUGGGAGACUAGAGUAAUGGAGAGGAAACCGGAAUUCUCGGUGUAGCAGUGAAAUGCGUAGAUAUCGAGAGGAACACUCGUGGCGAAGGCGGGUACCUGGACAUUAACUGACGCUGAGGCACGAAGGCCAGGGGAGCGAACGGGAUUAGAUACCCCUGUAGUC